UUUGAUUUUCUAAUUACAUUGUUGAGGGGAACAACUAUGAACUACAAACAUAAACUGUAAAACGGACAUGAAUAAUAUUUUUAUGCUUAUAUCUCUUUCCUUUUUUUACUGAGAAUUUGAGACUAUGGAAUAGAAUGAUAUUUCUUAUAUGGAACUAUUGAGGGGCAAAGCAUCACGAUUUUAUUCCCACUGUUCGCAAGUCGGUGCGACAUUAUACUCCCCAUACCAUGGCGAUAACGGAAACUAAAGUUAGGGCAAGUGAAGUUCCCAUGAUUGUUGAUAAACUUCCCUUUGAUGCUUGGUUAGAUACUACUACUAUUCAUCGCCGAGGUGCUAUCUGGCUGUUAUGGCUAUCUUUUGCGGUUACUAUAGAGCAACUGUGUGAUACCAAGUAGGAAAUCCACACCACUAUUAACGUACAUGCAAAUAACUCUUUGAUUGUUUUUAUUCGUUGUAUAUAGAGUUAAUGAGUUCCAUAAUUGUCUAAAUCAUUGUAACCUUAUUGAUCUAGGAUUCAAUGGCCCUACAUUCACUUGGUCAAAUCUUAGAGAUAUAAUGGGUUUUGUCUAAGAGAGGAUUGAUUACGCUUUUGCAAAUCCGGAAUGGAGACUCCUUUACCUAAAAGCUAUUGUCAAUCAUCUCCCUAGGGCAUGUUGAGAUUGUAGUUCCAAUAGGGUCGGAAGCGUGUAAAUUAUUGUACUAAAAAAUCACACAAAGUUCAAUUCCCAGGGAAGAGAGGUGGAUCACAAGGAUCUCUUAAAUACCAAGUCUUUCCUUAGUCAGAAUAUUCCUUCUAACGUAAUUUAAUAGCACAAUUAAAUACUACUAUUAUACCCUCAAAUAUUGAAAGAAAAAUAGGACAAAAAGAACACAAGAGUUUUAACGAGGUUCGGUAAAUUAUACCUACGUCCUCGGGCUACUAAAACCAGAUGAUAACUUUACUAUCUCCAAAAUAUUACAAACAAAUAGAAUUCCUUAAGAAUUCUCAAAUGGGAGAAGAGAGAAAACUAAGAGAGAAAGAUUGGUUGGGAUGGUUGAAAUGAAAAAUGAAAAGGCCUAUUUAUAGUUGAAGUUCAGGGACUAACUUGCAAAUAGCCUAAAAAAUUAGGGACCAAAAUUGCAAUUAUCCCAUUCAACUUUUCAACAUUCGGUGCAACUUGCUCAACCUUUUUAACAAGUUGCUUCCUACCUUUGUUGACCUUUCAACAAUCUCCACCUUGAAGAUUUGA
This 1229-nucleotide long non-coding RNA is filed under the name Gossypium barbadense (sea-island cotton). RNAcentral's name for it is "long non-coding RNA (GBAR_LNC015258)". Lineage: Eukaryota; Viridiplantae; Streptophyta; Magnoliopsida; Malvales; Malvaceae. The record is from RNAcentral.